CAUGGGAUGAGGGGCUAGGUGGUGAUUGUCAAUCUGUUGCUGUGUGUGUGUGUAGAAAAGGCUCUAAGGAAAGCUAGACUUUUAUUAACAGACUUGUAUUCUGAAAACUUAAGAGUGCAUUUCCUGAUGCUUCCAGUAGGAGGCGUUACAGUUAUAGUUUCACUUUUCUGCUGCUUUCAUUAUUCAGUCAGAGAUCGACGGCUGUGCAGCUUAAGUUUAAUCCUGUCACUCCUGAAGUUCGUUUGGUGUUUUAAGUUUUCCAAGUGUUAGUGCAUGACCAUAAAACUAAAUAUCAAUACACUUUGGAAAGAAGUUCCAGUCUCCUCAUUUGUUGUGUCCUGACCGACACCCAGGAUUGUUUGCUGAACAUAAUUUGAACUAGAGCCUAGCAGUUUCCUUUCCUCUCCAACAGUGUGUGUGUGUGUGUAAGCCAGUAGAGUCCAACAGGUGUCCUUGACAGGGAGCAGGAAUUUCAGAGCAUCUCCUUAUCUUACUAUCUGAGAGAAGUUGUUUUUCUCCAGCUGAGGCCGUCUGGCAGGGAAAAAAAACAGGGGAACCGAAAGAGUAGAAAAGUACUUCAACUUUAGGUCAACUUCAGGAAAUUUUCACAGAUAUUUAAUGUCCGUCACUCGUCUCCAGAUCUGGCCAAAUGUUGUUGCAAAGCCGCUAGAUUCACCCCAAUGUUUUCCAAUUUGCAGUCUAGGACCAUAGUCUGAGUAUUAGCGACCCUACCCAUCAGCGUUUCAAUCAAGCCGGCCAGCCUGGUGGGGUUUUGAGCAGCACUGACAGCUUUCAUCAAUCAUCGAUACCCCA
RNAcentral lists this long non-coding RNA (813 nucleotides) under Danio rerio (zebrafish). RNAcentral's name for it is "lncRNA si:ch211-123n6.1 (ENSDARG00000097972.2)". The record is from RNAcentral. Lineage: Eukaryota; Metazoa; Chordata; Actinopteri; Cypriniformes; Danionidae.